CUCAAGGUGAGUAAGGGCUGCG
This 22-nucleotide microRNA is filed under the name Chrysemys picta bellii (western painted turtle). RNAcentral describes it as "Cpi-Novel-1_3p* (star (passenger))". The record is from RNAcentral. Lineage: Eukaryota; Metazoa; Chordata; Testudines; Emydidae. RNAcentral also lists the same sequence under 1 other name.